Molecule: ribosomal RNA, 484 nt
Filed under: uncultured bacterium
Lineage: Bacteria
Description: partial 16S ribosomal RNA
Rfam family: Bacterial small subunit ribosomal RNA
Source: RNAcentral
AUUGAACGCUGGCGGCAUGCUUUACACAUGCAAGUCGAACGGCAGCGCGGGCUUCGGCCUGGCGGCGAGUGGCGAACGGGUGAGUAAUACAUCGGAACGUGCCCAGUAGUGGGGGAUAGCUCGGCGAAAGCCGGAUUAAUACCGCAUACGACCUGAUGGUGAAAGCGGGGGAUCUUCGGACCUCGCGCUAUUGGAGCGGCCGAUGGCAGAUUAGCUAGUUGGUGGGGUAAAUGCCUACCAAGGCGACGAUCCGUAGCUGGUCUGAGAGGACGACCAGCCACACUGGGACUGAGACACGGCCCAGACUCCUACGGGAGGCAGCAGUGGGGAAUUUUAGACAAGGGGCGAAAGCCUGAUCCAGCAAUGCCGCGUGUGUGAUGAAGGACUUCGGGUUGUAAAGCACUUUUGGCGGGAACGAAGAGGACUGUGCUAAUACCACGGUUCGAUGACGGUACCCGCAGAAUAAGCACCGGCUAACUACGUG